UUUCAUCUAUUCAACUCUCUCUUACAUACUACCUUUGACUAUUAGAUUGAUUAAUUGUUAUGCGACUUUCUUUUGAUUCAAUUGACAAAAGAAAACAAUGGAUGAAUGGAGUUGUUGGGGGUUUACAAUUUCAUCUAAUCCGCUCCCUCUUAUCUACUCCUCUUGAAUUAUUAGUUUGAUUAAUUAAUUGUUAUGCGACUUUCUUAGCCUACCCUUAACCCGAUCCCUCGGCGAAAAGGGCCUAAUAUUAACUACUGGC
This 259-nucleotide long non-coding RNA is filed under the name Vigna radiata. RNAcentral describes it as "long non-coding RNA (VRAD_LNC006092)". The record is from RNAcentral. Lineage: Eukaryota; Viridiplantae; Streptophyta; Magnoliopsida; Fabales; Fabaceae.